AAUCAUGAUACGGUAUAUUACCGUUAUGUUUACUUCGUAUUUGAUCUCUUACUCUUUCUGCAAAUAGUGCUGGUAACCCUGCUAAGAAUUUUUCUUUCCAAACACUAUUAUUGCUGUCUUCUCUUAUAAAUACUAAAGAGAAGAAGGUAUCUUUAUACCAUUUAAAAUGUGAUAGAUCCGGGCAUCGCAGAUUAAUUAACUGCUCCUGAGCUCUAUCGAUCAGCAUAUUUACUGAUCCGAUAAAGUGUAACCCUAUAGU
This 259-nucleotide long non-coding RNA is filed under the name Manihot esculenta (cassava). RNAcentral describes it as "long non-coding RNA (MESC_LNC006733)". Lineage: Eukaryota; Viridiplantae; Streptophyta; Magnoliopsida; Malpighiales; Euphorbiaceae. The record is from RNAcentral.